Non-coding RNA from Pelodiscus sinensis (Chinese soft-shelled turtle), 360 nucleotides. The record is from the annotation of a RefSeq genome assembly. NCBI's taxonomy places the organism in Eukaryota, Metazoa, Chordata, Testudines, Trionychidae.
AUGGCCUGGGACCCUCUGCUCCUCACCCUGCUCACCUACUGCUCAGGUUCUCUUGCCCAGUACGUGUUGACCCAGCCACCUUCAGUGUCAGUGUCUCCAGGGCAAAAUGCUCAGCUCACCUGCACAGGAGAAAAGUUUGACAAAUACUAUGUGUACUGGUACCAACAGAAACCUGGCCAGGCCCCCCAACUCGUCAUAUAUAAGGAUAGUGAGAGACCCUCUGGAAUCCCUGAGCGAUUUUCUGGGGCCAGCUCUGGGAAAACGGCCACAUUAACCAUCACUGGGGUCCAGGCGCAGGAUGAGGCUGAUUAUUACUGUAUGGUUUGGGACAAAGAUAAUAGCUCUCACACAGUGACAUAG